CCGAUAUGUUCGGGGUCGCGAAAAGGC
Molecule: non-coding RNA, 27 nt
Filed under: Drosophila melanogaster (fruit fly)
Lineage: Eukaryota; Metazoa; Arthropoda; Insecta; Diptera; Drosophilidae
Source: RNAcentral